RNAcentral lists this transfer RNA (55 nucleotides) under Marshallagia marshalli. RNAcentral's name for it is "tRNA-Asn". The record is from RNAcentral. Lineage: Eukaryota; Metazoa; Nematoda; Chromadorea; Rhabditida; Trichostrongylidae.
UAGGAGUUAGUUUAUGGUAGAAUUGUUGAUUGUUAAUCAAAAGGAUUACUCUUAA